Molecule: RNA transcript, 4421 nt
Organism: Sapajus apella (tufted capuchin)
Lineage: Eukaryota; Metazoa; Chordata; Mammalia; Primates; Cebidae
Gene: MAP9
Gene name: microtubule associated protein 9
Exons: 14
Source: RefSeq, a predicted model, not a curated record
ACUUCCUUCGUCUGAUUGGUUGCCCCAGCGACACGUUGGGCCAAGAGCGGUGUUGGGUACCAGAGAGACGGGAAGUCACUUCCUCCCGGAGACGCUGUUUCCUAGCAACCUCCCUCCGCCUCUGUUAUUAGUCCCUCCUCCUCGAUUGGUCCAGGACCUGCUCUGCCGGCGCUGCCAGGCCCAGUCAGGCCAAGCCACUAUCAGAAGUUGAAUUAUUCUAACCAUUAGCUAUUUUAUAAAGGUAAAGAGAUAAAAAUACAGUAUGUCUGAUGAAGUUUUUAGCACCACUUUGGCAUAUACAAAGAGUCCAAAAGUUACCAAAAGAACUACUUUCCAGGAUGAGCUAAUAAGAGCAAUUACAGCUCGCUCAGCCAGACAAAGGAGUUCUGAAUACUCAGAUGACUUUGACAGUGAUGAGAUUGUUUCCUUAGGUGAUUUUUCCGACACUUCAGCAGAUGAAAAUUCAGUUAAUAGAAAAAUGAAUGACUUUCAUAUAUCAGAUGAUGAAGAAAAGAAUCCUUCAAAACUAUCUUUUUUGAAAACCAAGAAACCAAACAGUAACAUAACCAAAGAUGAGCUAGUAUGUGCCAUCAAAAAUGAUAAGGAGACAGCACCUGAAGGGUGUGAAGACAUUGUUGUAAAAUCCUCUGAAUCUCAAAAUAAGGACGAGGAAUUUGAAAAAGACAAAAUAAAAAUGAAACCUAAACCCAGAGUUCGUUCAAUUAAAAGCACAUCUUCAGCGGAAAACAACAGCCUUGACACAGAUGAUCACUUUAAACCAUCACCUCGGCCAAGGACUAUGUUAAAAAAGAAUAGCCACAGAGAGGAGACAGAUGGACUAGAAGAUAAAGAAACUGCCCUCGGUGAAGAAUUGGAGUUACAUUCUUCACCCUCUUCCCUUCCAAUGCCGAAUGGCACACAAUUAGAAGCUGAGAAAAAAGCAUUCUCUGAAAACCUUGAUGCUGAGGAUUCAUGCUUAACAAGUCUAUCAUCGUCAUCUCUUAAACAAAUUCUUGGAGAUUCUUUUUCACCAGGAUCUGACGGAAAUGCAUCCAUAAAAGAUCCAAAUGAAGAAAUCACUGAAAACCAUAAUUCCUUGAAAUCAGAUGAAAAUGAAGAGCAUUCAAUUUCAGCAGACCAUGUCACUACUGCAUUUGAGAAAUCCAAGGAAAGUCAGGUGACUGCUGAUGACCUUGAAGAAGAAAAGGAGAAAGCUGAACUGAUUAUGGAUGGUGACAGAACAGUUGAUCCACUGCUAUCUAAAUCUCAGAGUAUCUUAAUACCUGCUAGUUCAACAGUGUCUGCAAAGAAAACAAUUGAAGAUAGAAAUAUGAAGAAUAAAAAGUCAACAAAUAAUAGAGCAUCCAGUGCAUCUGCCAGAUUAAUGACCUCUGAGUUUCUGAAGAAAUCUAGUUCUAAAAGGAGAACUCCACCAACAACUCCCUCUUCUCACUAUUUAGGGACUUUAAAAGUCUUGGACCAAAAACCUUCACAGAAACAGAGCAUAGAAUCUGAUAGAGCAGAUAACAUAAGAGCAGCUGUUUAUCAGGAGUGGUUAGAAAAGAAAAAUGUGUAUUUACAUGAAAUGCACAGAAUAAAAAGAAUUGAAAGUGAAAACUUAAGGAUCCAAAAUGAACAGAAAAGAGCUGCUAAAAGAGAAGAAGCAUUAGCAUCAUUUGAGGCCUGGAAGGCUAUGAAAGAAAAGGAAGCAAAGAAAAUAGCCGCCAAAAAGAGGCUUGAAGAAAAAAACAAGAAGAAAACUGAAGAAGAAAAUGCUGUGAGGAAAGAAGAAGCACUACAGGUAUUUGAGAGCUUUGCACAUCUUAAUUAUUUAAAAAUAUUUGAAAUCCAAUUAAUGCUUAACCAUAUUUUUAUUUAUUUUUAAAUAUUCACAGUAAGAACAUUAUUCUGAACUUUUUCAGGCUUUUGAAAAAUGGAAAGAGAAAAAGAUGGAAUAUCUUAAAGAGAAAAACAGAAAGGAGAGAGAAUAUGAAAGAGCAAAGAAACAGAAAGAGGAGGAGACUGUUGCCGAGAAAAAGAAAGACAAUUUAACUGCUGUUGAAAAAUGGAAUGAGAAGAAGGAAGCUUUUUUCAAGCAAAAGGAAAAGGAAAAAAUAAAUGAGAAAAGAAAAGAAGAACUGAAAAGAGCUGAGAAAAAAGAUAAGGAUAAACAAGCUAUUGAUGAAUAUGAAAAAUGGCUGAGGCAGGUUUCACCAAGGGUUUUCCUGCUCCGUGAGGAAUAUGAGAAAAUUGCCAAGAUGAAGAAACCACCAAACAAACUUAAAGUGUUAGCAGGGACAUAAAGAAAUAGACAAUCCAAAUUGUAAGUUGGAAAGAGCAGAUGCUACUAAUAUUUCAAGUACACCUAGGAAAAUAAGGAAAGGCAGGAAAGAAUUGAACGAAAACAAAAGAAACGUCAUUCCUUUCUUGAAAGUGAGGCACUUCCUCCGUGGAGCCCUCCAAGCAGAACCGUGUUUGCGAAAGGAUUUUGAUAAUUCUAGUUCUUACAUUAUUUAGUAAUUUAUCGAUUUGCCAAUAUUAGCCACAGAUUUAAAACCAUUCAAUUAUUUAUAGUUAGAGGAAUGUAUUUUACUUAAAUGCCAGGCACUUCUGCUGACAAAGAGAUAUUUUGGAGUGUAAUCAGUGAAAGCAUUUUUUGAACUGUAGAAAAACUGACUCAAAUGAAGACCUAAUAAUCAGAUUGCUUUUACCAUUAAGAUACAAAGUUUAAUCAUGUCCUGAUAAUUCUUAUAGUGGAAUGAUUCAUGAUCUUUUUCACUAAGCUCUGUAUGUUAUUUAAGUAUAUUUAAUUCCAGUAAUAAAAAGGAAACCAUUUAGGUACCAUAAUGAUAGAAAUGAUUCCGUUUGUGGAUGAUUGUGAAUCUAGAUUCAGGUUUUGAAAUGAGUGGUCGCUAGGAAGUAUGCAUGUAGUAUUCUUUCUGAAACUGAUGUUUAGCUCAAAGCAGUUACAUUUGUACUGUACAAGUUAGAAUUUUGAUCAGCUGAGGCAGUAGUUCAGCAGAACUGUAAUCAUCAAAGCUUUUUAUUUAGGAACUUUGCCUUAUGUUUUAAUAUGAGUAUACUUUAUCUGUUCCAGGCUCAUGUGACAAUCGUUGGCACUAUAAUGAGUCCACCUCUGAAAUUUUUCUUUCUGAAUUCUACCUCACUUUAUUAUUUCAGUGACACAAAAAGACAUUAAUGUCACAGAAGUGACAUACUUAUGUAUUAUGGAAAUUCCACAGGAGUUCAAGGUUAUUAUCACUAUAAUUAUUUUCCAGACUAAAGCCAUAAAGGUGAUUUAGGCAAUUAUUGUAUUCUUAGCUAGUCCAGUUUUAUAGCUUAUAUUCAGAAGACAGCUGUAUGGGAAGGUAAAUAUGUUGACAAUGCCCACAAAACGUUUAUUUGUUUAUUUAUGUGAUCUCUGCAUGUUCUUGUAUUAAUUGGUCUCAUACUUGACCUGGUCAUCUAGUUUAACAUAGACCAAGUGUAUGCUCUUGGAGUUGAAAUGCAGCAUUAGUCAAUAAUGCAAUGCAGAGAUGAUAGAUAAGAAUACACAGUUACUAUUUAUUGAGAAUCUAAUAUAUAAUAUAUACUGGAUCUUUACAAAUGUAUUUAACAUCUUUCUACCAACUUUUCAGGGUAGGUGUUAUUAGCUUCACCUUACAGAUAAAAAUAGUGACACUCAGAUAAAUCAAGUAACUUGCCAUUCCAUUUGGAGUAUGCCUGAAUUGGGAUCAAACAGGAUUCAGUCUCUCUUACUGAAUCUGCUUCUUUCUGGAAUCCCUGUGCUCUUUUUCACACUUCUGUGUGGCCUCAGAGACUGCUAAGUUCAGUCAAGACCUCUGCGUAUUAUCAACGUCACAAACACGUUUUAACAUUUAGAGCCUAAAAUCAGGUACUGUUAUCCAGAGAUGAUCUUUCUCUACCGAGAUAGCUGUUUUGUUGUUAGAGAUAGUGGGUGUCAUUAAAUCUAUAAAAUGGAAUAAAAAAUUCGUAAGAUUUAAGGAGUUACUUAGACAUCUUAUACCUACUAUCAGAAUAUCAGAAAACUCAGCACGUUAUGUGACAAAGGCUUUGAGAUGGUCACUCCAGACGUUCCACACACUGAGCAUCAGCCUUCUUGCUGCAGUGCAUGCACAAGACAAGAAAGAUGUCAUAAACGGCUUUGUAAGAUUGUAUCAGUACCAUAGACAAUUAAGAGAAAUUUCAUAGAUAAAACUAGAAGUCUUUUUAUAUGGCCAGAAGUAUAAUACUUUAUGAAAUUGAACUAGUUAUCAGCAAUCUGUAGUAUCAGCAUGGAAUUUAGGGCAUCUCUUACUCAUUUCUGUAACCCCCAUAGUAUCAAACACAGUGCCUGCCAAAAUAGAUUAAGUGUUUAUUGUAUUAGCUGUUUAGACCUAAAAAGAUAUUUGCAAACUUCA